Molecule: small nucleolar RNA, 92 nt
Organism: Notamacropus eugenii (tammar wallaby)
Lineage: Eukaryota; Metazoa; Chordata; Mammalia; Diprotodontia; Macropodidae
Product: small nucleolar RNA, C/D box 12C
Source: Ensembl
GCUGGUGUAAAUGAUGACCCGACUUUUUUCCCCAUCAGAUCGACCUUGCUGAUCUCUUUGCAUUUUUGCCAGUUUAGUUCUGAUGCACCAGC